RNAcentral lists this ribosomal RNA (464 nucleotides) under uncultured bacterium. RNAcentral describes it as "bacterial SSU rRNA". It matches the Rfam family "Bacterial small subunit ribosomal RNA", at positions 33 to 507 of the family's 1533-position model. The record is from RNAcentral.
GACGCUGGCGGCGUGCCUAACACAUGCAAGUCGAACGGGGUAAGAGGAGCUUGCUUCUCUUACUUAGUGGCGAACGGGUGAGUAACGCGUGAGGAACCUGCCUUUCAGUGGGGGACAACAGUUGGAAACGACUGCUAAUACCGCAUAACAUAUUCGAGCGGCAUCGCUUGAAUAUCAAAGCUUUAUGUGCUGAAAGAUGGCCUCGCGUCUGAUUAGCUAGUUGGUGGGGUAACGGCCCACCAAGGCGACGAUCAGUAGCCGGUCUGAGAGGAUGAACGGCCACAUUGGGACUGAGAUACGGCCCAGACUCCUACGGGAGGCAGCAGUGGGGAAUAUUGGGCAAUGGGGGAAACCCUGACCCAGCAACGCCGCGUGAAGGAAGAAGGCCUUCGGGUUGUAAACUUCUUUUACCAGGGACGAAGGACGUGACGGUACCUGGAGAAAAAGCAACGGCUAACUACGUG